GCAAACUUGGUCAUUUAGAGGAAGUACAAGUCGUAACAAGGUUUCCGUAGGUGAACCUGCGGAAGGAUCAUUAACAAGUGAACUGCGCAAGCAUUCUGGUCCGCGUCAGCGGAACAGGUGGGGCGAGGGGCGUUGGCCCCGAGUCACUCAUUAAGGGGCGCCUGUGAGGGCGUUCGCUCUUGCGAAUGGGCAAAGCAUCUAGCUAGCCUGUCUUGCAAGAGACUGAGACGAGUGUGAGUUGAGCUUCAUUACAACACAUAACACAUACAACUUUUAACAAUGGAUCUCUGGGCUCCUGCAUCGAUGAAGAACGCAGC
This 317-nucleotide unclassified non-coding RNA is filed under the name uncultured fungus. Its description in RNAcentral is "partial contains small subunit ribosomal RNA, internal transcribed spacer 1, and 5.8S ribosomal RNA". The stretch from base 1 to 73 matches the Rfam family "Eukaryotic small subunit ribosomal RNA", at positions 1759 to 1831 of the family's 1831-position model. Lineage: Eukaryota; Fungi. The record is from RNAcentral.